GAUGAACGCUGGCGGCGUGCCUAAUACAUGCAAGUCGAGCGAACAGACGAGGAGCUUGCUCCUCUGACGUUAGCGGCGGACGGGUGAGUAACACGUGGAUAACCUACCUAUAAGACUGGGAUAACUUCGGGAAACCGGAGCUAAUACCGGAUAAUAUAUUGAACCGCAUGGUUCAAUAGUGAAAGACGGUUUUGCUGUCACUUAUAGAUGGAUCCGCGCCGCAUUAGCUAGUUGGUAAGGUAACGGCUUACCAAGGCAACGAUGCGAAGCCGACCUGAGAGGGUGAUCGGCCACACUGGAACUGAGACACGGUCCAGACUCCUACGGGAGGCAGCAGUAGGGAAUCUUCCGCAAUGGGCGAAAGCUUGACGGAGCAACGCCGCGUGAGUGAUGAAGGUCUUCGGAUCGUAAAACUCUGUUAUUAGGGAAGAACAAAUGUGUAAGUAACUAUGCACGUCUUGACGGUACCUAAUCAGAAAGCCACGGCUAACUACGUG
RNAcentral lists this ribosomal RNA (497 nucleotides) under uncultured bacterium. RNAcentral describes it as "partial 16S ribosomal RNA". It matches the Rfam family "Bacterial small subunit ribosomal RNA", at positions 28 to 507 of the family's 1533-position model. The record is from RNAcentral.